ACGAACGCUGGCGGCAUGCCUAACACAUGCAAGUCGAACGAGACCUUCGGGUCUAGUGGCGCACGGGUGCGUAACGCGUGGGAACCUGCCCUUAGGUUCGGAAUAACUCCCCGAAAGGGGUGCUAAUACCGGAUAAUGUCUUCGGACCAAAGAUUUAUCGCCUUUGGAUGGGCCCGCGUUGGAUUAGCUAGUUGGUAGGGUAAAAGCCUACCAAGGCGACGAUCCAUAGCUGGUCUGAGAGGAUGAUCAGCCACACUGGGACUGAGACACGGCCCAGACUCCUACGGGAGGCAGCAGUGGGGAAUAUUGGACAAUGGGCGAAAGCCUGAUCCAGCAAUGCCGCGUGAAGGAUGACGGUCCUAUGGAUUGUAAACUUCUUUUGUACAGGGAUAAACCUACUCUCGUGAGGGUAGCUGAAGGUACUGUACGAAUAAGCACCGGCUAACUCCGUG
This 452-nucleotide ribosomal RNA is filed under the name uncultured bacterium. RNAcentral describes it as "partial 16S ribosomal RNA". It matches the Rfam family "Bacterial small subunit ribosomal RNA", at positions 29 to 507 of the family's 1533-position model. The record is from RNAcentral.